AAUCAACGCUGGCGGCGUGCCUCAGACAUGCAAGUCGAACGCGAAAGUCCCCUUCGGGGGAUGAUUAGAGUGGCGCACGGGUGAGUAACACGUAGGUAAUCUACCUUCGAGUGGGGAAUAACUCAGGGAAACUUGAGCUAAUACCGCAUAAUGCAGCGGCACCACAUGGUGACAGUUGUUAAAGCAUUUAUGCGCUUGAAGAGGAGCCUGCGGCAGAUAGCUAGUUGGUAAGGUAAUGGCUUACCAAGGCUACGAUCUGUAACCGGCCUGAGAGGGCGGACGGUCACACUGACACUGAAUAACGGGUCAGACUCCUACGGGAGGCAGCAGUCGGGAAUUUUGGGCAAU
This 348-nucleotide ribosomal RNA is filed under the name uncultured bacterium. Its description in RNAcentral is "bacterial SSU rRNA". It matches the Rfam family "Bacterial small subunit ribosomal RNA", at positions 32 to 372 of the family's 1533-position model. The record is from RNAcentral.